Musa acuminata subsp. malaccensis (wild Malaysian banana) is the source of this 1182-nucleotide non-coding RNA. NCBI's taxonomy places the organism in Eukaryota, Viridiplantae, Streptophyta, Magnoliopsida, Zingiberales, Musaceae. The record is from RefSeq and is a predicted model, not a curated record.
CCCUCCACGUUCUUUGGUCUCGUGUUGUGUUCGUUUUAAAUCUCCUCUGUCCCCUCUCGUUUCGUUCUUAAGUAAGGCGAGCUCGGGAUCUAAAUCGCAUCCGAGUUCCCAUAAAAUCCCUCGUCCUCCUCGCGUUCCCUCAGUCUCCUUCAAUCGAGCGAGUGAUCUCGAGCUCGACCGAUUCCGUGAAGCCACGAAGCCGGAAAAGAGGACGAUUUUCGCGAGGCGAGACGAUCUGAUUUUUCUUCCGUUCUCCAGCUUUAAUUUUAGGGUUCUUUCUUUGAAUUCGGCUUCCAUAGAGACUACGAGUGUUGGAUGCCUGGAUUGCAGUGGCGAACGAGGGAGCGGCCCGAAUUUCUCUUGGGAUGUCUAGGGUUGUUUUGCUGCAAUUGGUAGACUAAACUUGGGAUUUCGGAAUCUUUUCUUUGAAGGUGGUUGGGGUUCUAGCGGUGCUUGCUUCGUCCUUUGUUGUACGAGAGACGCAGAAAAUGGUUGGGAUGCAUGUGGCCAUAGUACGAGACGUGGCAUUGCUCGUCCCUGAUCUUUUGUAGCUCUCGGAAAUGUCUCAGUUGGCUCCGAGUGACAACCCUAAAUCAGCCGACGAACUGUUCUGCCAGUGGCUUUCACUACUAGAAACCAGCAAACUGGAAUAUGAAAAAUUCUACUUUGACAGAGUGGGACGGCUUUGCACAUAGAGAAUAGAGAAUAUAUCAGGUUGUCUAUGGAGGAAGAUGGUUAAGAUACCUGGAACGGAAGAGAUGUUUGGCAUGAAUCACUUCAUCCCCCCUUUUGAAAACAAGCUAUUGUCAAAGCUACCCUAGAACAGCUUCAUAGCUUUUCAAGGUUGUUCUCCGCAGGCAACUUGGCAUCGGCAUUCACUUCAUUAUUGCUGUCCCCAUGGCUCCACACAGAAAGAUUGCCAAUGCAACAAUGAACCAGAAACAUGUGAGUGUGUUCUCUGAUCAUGGAUGGUGGUGUUGUAUUAUUUAGGGAAUAGAAGCAUGAGUUAAAUUGUUUCUUUGCUCAAUCACUUGAACACAAAGACUGGGAAUGUAACAUGUCGAACUCAGAAAUUAGCCAAGUGACCAUUUUUGUGAUUGUUUGUAAUUAUCAGAGACCGAUUCAGGUUCAGAAAUGCUUCAAUGUUAAAACUUUUCUGAAGAUUGAUAAUAAUAUUAGGUU